UUGGCUUACAGGAAGCCAUGCCCAUAGGA
This 29-nucleotide non-coding RNA is filed under the name Homo sapiens (human). The record is from RNAcentral. Lineage: Eukaryota; Metazoa; Chordata; Mammalia; Primates; Hominidae.